UGUAGAUGGAGAAUAGUCGUCGGUUUGUGUCAUCAGCCGUCGUGUCUAUAACGAGGUCUCCUUAACAAAACGGAAUAAGAAUCGCACAACGUAUAUUGUCACAUACACGUCUGAUUGGAAAGGCUACUACGCGACGUCACGAGCUGCACUGUCCCAACAUUAGAGACACUUUCCAGCCCACGCAGCAGUUGCAGGCUGAAACAUCAAUUAUGUCGCAUCCAUGAAAGCCGUAUAUAGUGCUACUGCUGCUGCGCGUCUCUCAGUAAAGACAGCACCACUUGCGCUGAAUAAUGGAGAGGAUUUCUUAUUUAAUAUCAUGCAGCAUCAUUCUUUCUCAACGAGGCCAAUGACGAUAGAUGCCGCUGACUAGCAACCUUGAAUGAAACCUGUUUUACUCUAUAGGUUUAUAGAUACAUCCUUCUUCUUGUAACCGAACAAGUUUAUAAUGAACGUCCCUUUUCAUAUGUUUGGCACGUAAGUUAGCCUAUGUGUAGUCGAUGGGAUUCUUUCGCGGGGAUCGUUAGUCUUGUACGCAGCUGGAAUACGCAAAAUCUCGUGAACCUUAUUACACUGUCUGAUAUAUCAAGUGUAUAUAUAUAU
Long non-coding RNA from Daphnia magna, 600 nucleotides. RefSeq lists it as uncharacterized. The transcript is spliced from 3 exons. The record is from RefSeq and is a predicted model, not a curated record. Lineage: Eukaryota; Metazoa; Arthropoda; Branchiopoda; Diplostraca; Daphniidae.